UGAAUCCAAUAUGGGAUCAUCAUUUUCCAAAAAGGAAUGGGCCCAUGCCAUAGGUUCACCUCUUAAAAAAGAGAUCACUGAACAGACUUUGGAUCUUUCGGUGGGAUAAGAUCUAGGUUUUAAAGCAAUUAGUAGUUUGCAAGAAUUCAAAAACUCUCUGUACUUUGUUCUAUCUCCAUAAAAUUUUUCUGGAUUACAGACAGCAGGAUCACCAGCCGAUUGAAGAGCGGCAUGAGGAAGAUGACCUUGAAUGUCUCUAACAUAGGUUAAUAUUCUCUCAUUUGUAAUUUGCAGUUCCUGUAACCCAUGAGCAAUCGUAUCCACUCUAUUGGUUAGGGCAGAAACUUGAGAAUUAAUAUCUGCUGGUUCCAUUUUGGGCUGAAUUAUUCUGUGAUACUUGUUUUAAUUGGAACUCAACUGCAGCAUUUCUUGGUUGCAACAACAAUAAGGUUUACCUCCGUUUAUAUUGGUAUGAAACUAUGGUCACUGUACCUUUAAAUAUUCAUGUAGGUAAAAUUAGGCUUUGUAGCAAUCCCUUAUGAGUAAGAGGAAUAAUUAGACAAAGUGACACUUUAGUAAGUUUUAGAUACUGUGUAAUAUAAAUAAUAGUGAUUGACUUGCUUGGUAAAAGUAUUACUUAACUUAGAGGCAGUUCUGGCACUGGAAGGGUUAAUUCGCCCAAAGAAAGAGAAAUUAGAAGUCCGUUUCAACAAGCUGAGAACUAGGAGUGGAGAGAGGGGAAGUCCGUUUUAACAAGCCAAGGUCUGGAAGUGGAGAAGGUAGAAUUCAGAGUUACAAGCCGAGGUCUAGGAGUGGAGAAGGUAGAAAUCCGUUUACAAGCCGAGGUCGAGAAGUGGAGAAGGUAGAAAUCCGUUUACAAGCCGAGGUCGAGAAGUGGAGAAGGUAGAAAUCCGUUUACUAGCCGAGGUAUAGAAGUGGAGCAGGUAGGAUCAGAAGUAGAGCAGCUGAUCUUCAUGCAGCACCUGUGCGAAUAAUUCAGCCCUUUGAAUCUGGCGCGGUCCUCCUAAGUAUCGUGGAGGGACCGCGUCAGAGAAAGGGGCGGGGCUGAACGCCGUGAACCCGGAAGUGGG
RNAcentral lists this long non-coding RNA (1091 nucleotides) under Pelobates cultripes (western spadefoot toad). The record is from RNAcentral. Lineage: Eukaryota; Metazoa; Chordata; Amphibia; Anura; Pelobatidae.